RNAcentral lists this long non-coding RNA (981 nucleotides) under Oryctolagus cuniculus (rabbit). RNAcentral describes it as "lncRNA (ENSOCUG00000036024.1)". The record is from RNAcentral. Lineage: Eukaryota; Metazoa; Chordata; Mammalia; Lagomorpha; Leporidae.
AUGAGCUUUUCAAGGCCCGAGGGAAUUUUUGACACCGACGACCCGCUCCAGACACCCGCCGGGCAGGCUAAGCCCGCACCACGGGCGCUGCGGGGCGUCCAGACUUCCCCGGAGGCGCGGGCGGGCGGCCGGUGCCUCCCUGCCGCUGCUUCGGCGCCAGCCCUCGGUGCGCCACACGCGUAUUGUGAUGUGACAGCGGGCGCCGGCCUCGAAGGCGGUUUGCGCCCGAGCCUCCGUGUGGGUGAGCGCCUGAGCGCUCCUCUGGCACCCGGGGCUCCGGACACGAGACUCUGCGCUGGGGGUCUCCGCCUCAGCCAACGGCCGCCCCGCGAGGCACCUGGCGCGCUCCGCCCCUUUCCGAAACCGCCGCCUGCGAGCUCCGCCCCCUCCCCUGCCGCCGCGACGCGAACGCGCACAAGGCCGGCUCGCGCGCCCGGUGCUUCGCCAAGUGGUGCGCGCCGCGGUCCGCGUGUCCAGCGAGUCCUACUCUGCCACGCUGCCCGCGCGCUUUUCCGGCGGCACUGCCCGGCCCUCUUCUCGCUGCCUGGCCUCUGUUUCCCCUUCGGACGCUGCCACCCUGUGGAAGCCUGCGCAGCCACACCGGGCCUGAGACGGCCGCGGCCGGCGGGAAGCGGAGGGCUUGUUGUCGCGGCAGCCGCGGCAGGACUUGUCAUGGAAUCUUUAUCUCCAAACUCAACAGGCACAACUUCUGCCAGCAUUGUGUGAUGACCAAAAGCAACAAUUCCUGGGAAAGCAUUUGAGGACCUACUUCUUCAUGGUUUUGGUGUCAUUUGAAGAUCUGUCUGUGGACUUCACCUGGGAGGAGUGGCAGGACCUGAACACUGCCCAGAAAAUCCUGUACAGGGAUGUGAUGCUGGAGACCUAUAGCAAUCUACUAUCCUUGGGUGAGUGACAGUCCCCUGACGUUCCCAACUACAGCAUUUUAUUCCCCUUUGACAAAUAAAUGAACACUUUUAAACA